Molecule: long non-coding RNA, 1457 nt
Organism: Felis catus (domestic cat)
Lineage: Eukaryota; Metazoa; Chordata; Mammalia; Carnivora; Felidae
Exons: 7
Source: RefSeq, a predicted model, not a curated record
ACCCCGUGGAUCUCCACCACGCCCUUUGCUCCAUAAAAGCUGGGGCGGAAGGCCCAGACUGGGCGCUGAAGAGCUGUGUAAGGUGGCCGAGUAUGCCCGGAUCAUCGUUUGCUAGAUUCCCUCACUGUCAGGAGGGAAGGGGUAUCCCCAGAUGAAGAUACAAAGGGCUUGCCCAGACCUGUGCUCAGAGGGAUCUUGCUCCAACAGUGUCCUGAGUGCCUGGAAGGCAGGUGACAGAGGAAUCCCAGCAAAGACUGGAGAGCCCUGGCCAAAAUAACCCAUGGGACCCUGCCAGCCCCGCCUGUGUCCCCGAAUGCCAAAUGCAGACGACAGCCUGAAAACAAUUUGUCCGGCCUAUGCUUGGAUUCAGGAGGCCUUGACCGCAUCCAAGAUGACAACCCUGUCCUGACAGCAGUGACGACCAGGGGACCCUCUCAUUUGGAAAGUCCCUAACCUCUAUUACACUGAGGUGGACCUGAGUGUGAGACAGACUUCUCUACGUCCCAUCCAAAUAUCCAACCAACGCAGUCUGUGCCAUUCACUGGAGAUACAUCAUUGAAUAACACCUGCACAUUCUCCUGUGGAACUACAAUUCCUUUGUAUAUCCCAAGAAGCUAAUAUAAUACUUUUAUCUGUGAAUGUUAAGUAAGCCUCAUUGCCUCACAUACUGCCUUGGAUGUGUGCACCGAGCCUCCUAAACACCAGAUCGGGAAACAUACACCACACUCUAACCUACACACGCUCACUCACGCUCACAUUGUGCAGACAAGCUCUGGGACAGUGGGAGAGGUGCCCCCAGUGGGACUCCCAGCCCCCAGCCCCACCCCAGGCACAGCUUUUGCAGAGAUGCAUAAGGCAACGCCUCCCCGCCUGGAGAACACAUACACCUCUUCCCAAAGAGUCAUCUCGCCUAUGAAACCUUUCCCUUCAGCACCCCCAGUGGACUUGCCUACUCUGUCCUUCAUGUUGCCACGUUCCUGAGCAGACAGCCUCCACCUAUGAAAUCUUCAUCUACGUCUUCGUUGACAUGUCAGUCUUUACAUAUAAGGUCCUAUAUGGAAAGGUGACGGUAUUCCUUCAUUUGUUACCAGUCCCCAAUGCUUGGCACACGGAAGAGGUUAAUAAAUAAGUUUUAGGUCAAAAAAAAAAGUAAGUCAGAAGAGGACUUGCUAGAGUAUAGGAAGGGAUGGUGCAAGGUUAGAGGCACCAGUGAAGACAUUUGGCAUGAAGGAAAAUCACAAGAAGGGCCUGGCUGGGAUCUGAGGUCCUUCUAGAGAGGUAAUAGGACAGACCACUGAGAAGCCUGGAUGAGACUGAAUUGUGGGGUGCUCUGAAGUCAGGCAGAGAAACUUUGGCUUUAUAACUCAAACAAUAAAAAAAAUCAUUACAGGGGCGCCUGUGUGGCUCAGUCGGUUAAGCAUCCGACUUCAGCUGAGGUCAUGAUCUCACGGUUUGUG